Molecule: RNA transcript, 2110 nt
Organism: Pseudomyrmex gracilis
Lineage: Eukaryota; Metazoa; Arthropoda; Insecta; Hymenoptera; Formicidae
Gene name: rRNA/tRNA 2'-O-methyltransferase fibrillarin-like protein 1
Exons: 4
Source: RefSeq, a predicted model, not a curated record
GAGAUAUAUAAUUCCCAGUAUCAGUUAUCUUCUCCUCCUUUUCGGCGUUUGAAGCGUUAAUGUAGCGUGUGUGUGUGCUUUUGGAGGUGAAACUGAUUUAGAGCCGAAGUUUUUCGACAUGUCAGAAUCCCGAAGAGAUACAAGUAACGCAAAUGCGCAUUAUUUAUCUUUAUCGUAAUUUACACUCAUUGUUUAAUAACGUUUUUUUACUGUUCGCGAUCUAAACGGGAAUAGGUGGUAACCUUGACGAGAAAUAUAUUGUGAAAUUCAACACGUGGCUUGAAUUCUCGAUACCACUUUUCUUUUCUUAUUUAAAUUUAUGACUAUUUCGAUGGGAUUUGUAGCGAUAAGAGAUAUAUGUUUAUGUCACGCGGCGAGAAUAAAAUUUUCGACCGUGAUCUGUAUCUUAGUUUACUUUAAAUAUUCAUGAUACUGUUGCUUAGACAUGAAAGGCUGAAAGCAUGUUGAAGAUACAAUAAACAUUGUUAUUAUUAGGCCAUAUCGAUUUAGUUACUUGUUUUGAUACUUUCUUUUCAAAUAUAAAUUCUUAGGUUCUGAAUUAGAUUCUGAAGGUUCAUAUAGAGAAACAAACAGGAGCAGACAAAGAAAACGUAAAUGGGUGUAUCCGUCUAAAAAAUAUAAAGGAGUAUUUGUCCUCGUUCAAGACAACCAAGAAACAUUAAUAACCAAGAGUGUGGUACCUAGAAUAGCUGCGUAUGAAGGAGAAAAAAGAAUCUAUUUUCUGGAUAAAUACAAACGGGAAAGAAUUGAGUACAGAAUUUGGGAUCCAUUUAAAUUUAAAUUAGCUGCUGCUAUUCGUAAAGACAUUAACAAUAUUUAUAUAAUGCCCAAAAGUAAAGUAUUAUACUUGGGUGCAGAAUCGGGCACUGCUGUGUCUCAUGUUGCAGAUAUAGUUGGUCUGGUAAGUAAACCACCAGAAACAUAAAAGAAUUUUAACUUGUGCACACAUUAGAGCCAAAUUGAUUUACUAUUGCCAAUUUGGUGUCGAAGUGGUGCUAGAACAAUUAUACGCUUGUUUUUUCUAUAGUGAGUAAGAUUUGAUUUUACUUUGAAAGGAAAACUUGCGUACAAAGUCCAUACGAUGGAAUUGUUUAUGCAGUAGAAUCUGUCCAGAAACAUAUGAAACAGUUGGUCGAAGUUGCUCAAAAAAGGAGUAAUAUUGUUCCUAUACUUGAGGAAGCGUGGCAUCCUUACAAGUACCGAAUGCUUAUAGGAAUGGUAGAUGUCAUUGUCUCUGAUAUAGCACGACCGGAUUACACUGAAAUUGUUGCAAAAAAUGCGCACAACUAUCUUAAAAAUGGGGGUCAUUUUGUGAUAUUUAUUAAAAUGAGCAUGGAUCCGUCCGACAGAUAUAACGACGCGUGGAGAACAGCAAGACGUAACUUGGAGAAUGAGAAACUGAGGAUUGAAGAGUACAAGAAACUGGAUGAGAAAAAUAACUAUAUUAUUGUUGGCGUUUUCGACGUUAAUUUUAAUCUUGAAAUACGUAUGAGACUCUAAGACUCAAGCAAUACAAAAAUCAAAACAUUAUUCUAGUCAACAUUUUGAUAAUAAAGGAAUGGUGGUAUCAAAGGAAAGAUCUUGCUAAGCAAAAAUCAAAACAUUGUUCUAGUCAACAUAUCAUGUUCGAAUAUCUUGUUUUGCUGGUCUGUUGUAUAAUCUUAUUCACAUAUUUAUUUUCAUUUUCAAUUCUGAUGAUCAGCUAGGUAAAAUGUGCAACAAGAUAUCAAUAACAAAAAACACUGUGAUUCUAAAGUUGAGAUUACUGUGAUAUUUAUAACUUGCUAAAAACUUUUUAUUUUAUAAUUUUGUGUGUAAUUUUAAGGUACAUGUUUCUGAAUGUCUGUACGCGUAUAUACCGAUAUAAAAUUCUAUACAUAUAUUUUCAUAUCUUCCAAAUUUCAUAUCUUUCAAGUUCUAUUCCAAAUUCUCACAUUAGCUCAUAUAAAAUAGAUUUUAUACAUUAUGAAUGUUACAACGAAUAAUAUACAGACAUAUUUUUAUAUUUUUUUAUAUACAUAUAUAACACGAAUUCUAUUGUACAUAUCGCACUUUUUAUAUUCCAACUAUUUUGUAACUUAUAAAUUUA